UUCAUAGAGUCUUUAUUUGUUGUUUUAUUUAUUUAAAUUAAAGGUGUAUCUUUUAUAAAAGAAUCUUGUAUAAGUGAUGAUUACUAAUUUUCAAUGAAGAAUGUAACACCUUGAACCAAUAUUUUUUUUUUAAUUCAUUUUGACUCCGAGUCUUGAAAGUUAUAUUUUUAUCCGCUGCGUAGUUUUGAAAAAGCAUUCUUUUAUUAAGAUAAAUUGAAUAUUGGGUUAGGGUGGUUACAUUUGAGUCUUACAAGACUAGAAGAAUUAGUCGCUGCAAUUACAUGCAGAAGAUAUAUAAUUUACGCAACAACAAAAAUUGAAAAUAAAAAAAUAUUUGUGA
RNAcentral lists this long non-coding RNA (340 nucleotides) under Trifolium pratense (red clover). RNAcentral's name for it is "long non-coding RNA (TPRA_LNC003120)". Lineage: Eukaryota; Viridiplantae; Streptophyta; Magnoliopsida; Fabales; Fabaceae. The record is from RNAcentral.